This 768-nucleotide ribosomal RNA is filed under the name unidentified microorganism. Its description in RNAcentral is "bacterial SSU rRNA". It matches the Rfam family "Bacterial small subunit ribosomal RNA", at positions 79 to 843 of the family's 1533-position model. The record is from RNAcentral.
GCAACCUGGCGGCGAGUGGCGAACAGGGUGAGUCAAUAUAUCGGAACGUACCCAAGAGUGGGGGAUAACGUAGCGAAAGUUACGCUAAUACCGCAUACGAUCUAUGGAUGAAAGCAGGGGACCGCAAGGCCUUGUGCUCCUGGAGCGGCCGAUAUCUGAUUAGCUAGUUGGUAGGGUAAAGGCCUACCAAGGCUACGAUCAGUAGCUGGUCUGAGAGGACGACCAGCCACACUGGAACUGAGACACGGUCCAGACUCCUACGGGAGGCAGCAGUGGGGAAUUUUGGACAAUGGGCGCAAGCCUGAUCCAGCAAUGCCGCGUGAGUGAAGAAGGCCUUCGGGUUGUAAAGCUCUUUUGUCAGGGAAGAAACGGUGGAGGUUAAUACCUUCCNCUAAUGACGGUACCUGAAGAAUAAGCACCGGCUAACUACGUGCCAGCAGCCGCGGUAAUACGUAGGGUGCAAGCGUUAAUCGGAAUUACUGGGCGUAAAGCGUGCGCAGGCGGUUUUGUAAGUCUGUCGUGAAAGCCCCGGGCUCAACCUGGGAAUUGCGAUGGAGACUGCAAGGCUUGAAUCUGGCAGAGGGGGGUAGAAUUCCACGUGUAGCAGUGAAAUGCGUAGAGAUGUGGAGGAACACCGAUGGCGAAGGCAGCCCCCUGGGUCAAGAUUGACGCUCAUGCACGAAAGCGUGGGGAGCAAACAGGAUUAGAUACCCUGGUAGUCCACGCCCUAAACGAUGUCUACUAGUUGUCGGGUUUUAAUUAACUUGG